CCUACGGGUGGCUGCAGUGGGGAAUAUUGGACAAUGGGCGAAAGCCUGAUCCAGCCAUGCCGCGUGUGUGAAGAAGGCCUUCGGGUUGUAAAGCACUUUCAGUGGGGAAGAAAGCCUUGGGGCUAAUACCCUCGAGGAAGGACAUCACCCACAGAAGAAGCACCGGCUAACUCCGUGCCAAGCAGCCGCGGUAAUACGGAGGGUGCGAGCGUUAAUCGGAAUUACUGGGCGUAAAGCGCGCGUAGGCGGUCUGAUAAGCCGGUUGUGAAAGCCCCGGGCUCAACCUGGGAACGGCAUCCGGAACUGUCAGGCUAGAGUGCAGGAGAGGAAGGUAGAAUUCCCGGUGUAGCGGUGAAAUGCGUAGAGAUCGGGAGGAAUACCAGUGGCGAAGGCGGCCUUCUGGACUGACACUGACGCUGAGGUGCGAAAGCGUGGGUAGCAAACAGGAUUAGAUACCCCGGUAGUC
Molecule: ribosomal RNA, 466 nt
Filed under: Vreelandella stevensii
Lineage: Bacteria; Pseudomonadati; Pseudomonadota; Gammaproteobacteria; Oceanospirillales; Halomonadaceae
Description: partial 16S ribosomal RNA
Rfam family: Bacterial small subunit ribosomal RNA
Source: RNAcentral